This 403-nucleotide ribosomal RNA is filed under the name uncultured bacterium. RNAcentral describes it as "partial 16S ribosomal RNA". It matches the Rfam family "Bacterial small subunit ribosomal RNA", at positions 30 to 526 of the family's 1533-position model. The record is from RNAcentral.
AUUGAACGCUGGCGGCGUGCCUAAUACAUGCAAGUCGAACGCAGUGGGGACGGGUGAGUAACACGUGGGUAACCUCCCAUCAGAGGGGAUAACACUUGGAAACAGGUGCUAAACCGAUACUGAUGGAUGGACCCGCGGUGCAUUAGCGCGUUGGUGAGGUAACGGCUCACCAAGGCCACGAUGCAUAGCCAACCAGAGCGUGUGAUCGUCCACACUGGGACUGAGACACGGCCCAAACCCCUACGGGAGUGAGCAGUUGGGAAUCUUCUGCAAUGGACGAAAGUCUGACCGAGCAACGCCGAGUGAGUUAGGAAGGUUUUCGAAUCGUAAUACUCUGUUGUUAUAGAAGCGGUAUCUAACCAGAAAGCCACGGCUAACUACGUGCCAGCAGCCGCGGUAAUUC